AAACAAUCACCUAUAAAUAUACUCAAAACCAUCAUCGAUUCUUGCAAAUCAUCACCCUUCCAUCGAUCGAUCUGAUCCACCUAGUUGCAAGCUCGAUCGAUCUCUCAUCUGCUCUGCUAAUUGAUCCUAAGGCGAUCAUGGCAGCUGCCAACAGAUCGGCUCUCCUCGUCGUGGCCAUGGCGGCGGCGGUGCUCACGACGACGGCGACGGGCGCCACCACCUACACGGUAGGAGCACCGGCCGGGUCGUGGGACACGCGCACCAACUACGCGCAGUGGGUGUCCGCCGUCACCUUCCGUGUCGGCGACCAGCUUGUGUUCAAGUACUCGCCGGCGGCGCACGACGUCGUGGAGGUGACCAAGGCUGGCUACGACUCCUGCUCGAGCUCCGGCCCCGUCGCCACCUUCAACUCCGGCGAUGACACCGUGCCAUUGACAGCUACCGGCACCCGAUACUUCAUGUGCGGCUUCCCUGGCCAUUGCGCCGCCGGGAUGAAGAUCGCAGUCAAGGUCGAGGCCGCCACUGCCACCGGCGGUAGUGGCACUGCACUGUCGCCAAUGGCGCCUCGUCCGCGCACGCCUACAGCAAUGGCACCGAACGCGAUGCCACCUAUGGCUGGUGGUCGGCCUGUGUCUCCAUCGAGCUCGGCGAGCAAGUCCACUGGUGUUGCAUCUCUGGUUGGGCUUAGUUUGGGCGCCAUAGUUGCUGGCCUCAUGUCCUUCUAAAUUAGAGGAAGAAUAUUUUUUGUUCUCUCUUCAUUGGCGAUCGAUUGAUCAUGUUCAUAUGUAUUGAUUUGUUUGUGAUUAGUCCAGCUCAUAUUGUUACUUAUGUAAUUUUUGGUUACAUGUUAUUGAGCUUGCUUAUAUUUUGAUUCUUUAUUGCUAUAUAUAUAUGUUUUUGACCAUCAUCACUAUUGUUUGACUUCAAUUUUGUCUUUUCACCUAAAAUGUACACCUUAAUUAGUCAGUUGCAAUUAAACAAAAGGGGGAGAAUUCCAUUUCAAAAGCCUCUGGCUCAUAUGAACAUAAAUAUAAAUACCUAUAGCCAUAUUUUACCGAAACGGGGGAUAUGCUAGCUAAACCUUCAAAUAUCCGUACCUAUAAAUCCGAUGCCCUGGUGCUAACCAAUAAUAAAUUCUCUGUUUAGAAAAUAGGAUUAAUUAAGCAAAGAGUAUGUUUUACAUUAUACUGUGUAUAGGCCAAGGCUAUAGCCACUUUUCACUUAAUGCAACAUAUUUUACAAUUUAUUGUAAAAUUAUCCUUAUUCACGCUGUGGAUGAUGAUCCCCUAUCCACAUCAGAAGAACUAUCAACUACCCAUAGAUCUAAUGUGCUCCUCUAAAUUAAAAAAAAAGAACAUUAAAUGACUAAUAACAGCUGUAGUUAUAUGGUACAAUAUAAACAUGUGGAUGAUCGAGGAAGCUAACAUUGUAACUAUAUAUUGUGUGUUUAAACUUACGAAAUCAUUGCAUGCAUCCUGAUGAAUUACUCUGAUUUCUUUACGAAGUAUAAAAACAUAAUUUCAACACCUCAAACGUGUGUUCGCAUCGCCGUCAUGAGCAACGGAUAUUUUAGGUGGCUAUAAUUACCAUCGAACGAUCAUCAAAGGGAAGAAAAACAAGUUUGUUCAAGCUAGAUCACUGAAGGAGAGGAUGUAAAACGUACAAAAACAGAAUGAGAAUGUCAUGGAACAUAUUAGAACGCGUUGGAGUCAAUCCAAAAUUAGGGCCUCGUACAGUCGGGCACCCCACACUUGUCCACGUAGCAUAUUGUGUACUCCCUCCGUACUCGUAAAGAAAUUCGUUUUGGACAGCGACACGGUCUUCAAAACACAACUUUGACAUCUUAUUUCUAUAAAAAUAUUUAUUCAAAAGUGAUACAUGUAUAUUUUUAUGAAAGUAUUUUUCAAAACAAAUCUAUUCAUAUAAUUUUUACAUUUUCAAACUCAACAACUUGAGCAUUAUUUAUGAUUUAUAUUUCCAAUGUUUGACUUAAACAUUAUCCUAAACGAAUUCCUUUACAAGUAUGGAGGGAGUAUCAUUUAUACUCCUUUAAAAGCCUUUAGUAGUGGUGGCAGCGAAUCUACCACCCUAUUAGUGCUUUUGAAUUAUUUUUUUUACAAAUUGCCCCCAUAAUAUUUUAAAUAUUAUAGAAUAGUACAAUAUUAUGAUAUGACAUAUUAUGAAUUUUUUUUCUUCUGCCUAUAGCAAAGCUUGUAGAUGUGUGUUAGUGGAUACAUUCGUGGAUAUUUAUAUGUGGUGUGUGUAACUACGCCGAUGUUAUGCAGCUACAUUAUCUCGAGGGGGAAAAAACCUCCUAACUAUUGGUAGAUAAUCAAAUUAAGACCCCAUCUUGUUCUUAUAAAAAGACAAAAAAAAACCAUCCAGAAAGAGAAAAUUCUCAUCUAGAAGCCAGUCAGUCUACAUCCAUGCAGCUUUGAUCAUUUCAAUCAGGUGAUUCAGACCAAAGUCGAGCAGCCAACUCGACGACUAUUCUAACACACCUACCCAUCAAUUAAUUAAUUAAUUAACUACACUUUCACACGAGUCUAGUCAAACACAUAUUGACCAACCAACCCCUGCAUUGACCUCACCUCACCUCACUCAUCCCUGCCAAUCCACGCGCUUAAUUAGCUUAAUGCAUUAAAGCAAGUUUAAUAGUAUAGCUAAUUAAUAACUCUAAAUUAUAUCAAUCUAAUAAUUAAUUUAUACAAUAAUUAACUAUAAAUAUAUAAUACAUCAUUAAUAAUUGGUCCACCUGUUAUACACAUAUAACAUUUUAAAGUCUGUACUACAGCUAGUUAUAAAUCUGUAUAGUCUUCUCUUUUCUUUCGUCUCUCAUCUCUUCUAUAUGUGAUUAUAGCUGAUUUAUAAUCUGUAUUAUAUAUGUUCUUAGCUUAAGCUAAUUAAUCACCCAUCACCUAUAUAUACACAUACUUCCCAUCGUCUCCUUGCCAUCUCAUUUCUUGCAUCAUCUCCUCCCAAUUCCAAGCUCCAUCGAUCUCCUCGAUCGUCGAUCGUCGCGGCCAUGGCAGCAUCAGCCAGAGCUCUCCUCGUCGUGGCCGUGGCGGCGGCGGCGGCGGUGCUCGCGACGACGGCGAUGGGCGCCACCACCUACACGGUGGGAGCACCGGCCGGGUCGUGGGACACGCGCACCAACUACGCGCAGUGGGCGUCCGCCGCCACCUUCCGCGCCGGUGACCGGCUCGUGUUCAGGUACUCGCCGGCGGCGCACGACGUCGUGGAGGUGACCAAGGCCGGCUACGACGCCUGCUCGGCGGCGAGCCCCAUCGCCAC
RNAcentral lists this long non-coding RNA (3294 nucleotides) under Oryza sativa (Asian cultivated rice). RNAcentral's name for it is "long non-coding RNA (OSAT_LNC001443)". Lineage: Eukaryota; Viridiplantae; Streptophyta; Magnoliopsida; Poales; Poaceae. The record is from RNAcentral.